Molecule: ribosomal RNA, 454 nt
Filed under: uncultured Thiobacillus sp.
Lineage: Bacteria; Pseudomonadati; Pseudomonadota; Betaproteobacteria; Nitrosomonadales; Thiobacillaceae
Description: bacterial SSU rRNA
Rfam family: Bacterial small subunit ribosomal RNA
Source: RNAcentral
ACAAGCGGUGGAUGAUGUGGAUUAAUUCGAUGCAAACGCGAAAAACCUUACCUACCCUUGACAUGUCCGGAAUCCUGCAGAGAUGCGGGAGUGCCCGAAAGGGAAUCGGAACACAGGUGCUGCAUGGCUGUCGUCAGCUCGUGUCGUGAGAUGUUGGGUUAAGUCCCGCAACGAGCGCAACCCUUAUCAUUAGUUGCUACGCAAGGGCACUCUAAUGAGACUGCCGGUGACAAACCGGAGGAAGGUGGGGAUGACGUCAAGUCCUCAUGGCCCUUAUGGGUAGGGCUUCACACGUCAUACAAUGGUCGGUACAGAGGGUUGCCAAGCCGCGAGGUGGAGCCAAUCCCAGAAAGCCGAUCGUAGUCCGGAUUGUUCUCUGCAACUCGAGAGCAUGAAGUCGGAAUCGCUAGUAAUCGCGGAUCAGCAUGUCGCGGUGAAUACGUUCCCGGGUCUU